RNAcentral lists this transfer RNA (71 nucleotides) under Marmota monax (woodchuck). RNAcentral describes it as "tRNA.Val". It matches the Rfam family "tRNA". From Rfam's summary of the family: Transfer RNA (tRNA) molecules are approximately 80 nucleotides in length. Their secondary structure includes four short double-helical elements and three loops (D, anti-codon, and T loops). Lineage: Eukaryota; Metazoa; Chordata; Mammalia; Rodentia; Sciuridae. The record is from RNAcentral.
GGGGUUGUGGCUCAGUGGUAGAGCACAUUCCUCACAUGUGUGAGGCCCUGGGUUCAAUCCUCAGCACCACA